GGGAUGCCGGUGGUGGCAGAUGCUUCCUCCUGGCCAAAUCCCAAAUCCCACCCUCAGCACCCACACCCUGAGCAGUGGGCAGGAGAGGCCUGAAAACGUCUGUACAAAUGGCUUCCGAGAAGCCCUGGAGAUAAAGGAGCCAGAGGCAGCCACACAUGGUUCCCAGAAGCUGAAUGCUGCGCAGACGACAGGAAUGACUUCACCCAUCCUGCUUCCACCCGCCAUAGCAGUGACCAAAGCAGCACUGGGACCACAGCUGAGCACCUCAGAAGAUAAGUCCUGGGGUGAUUCUUGUCAUCUCCGUGAAAAGGAGAAGACAAAAAGGCAGAGGCUGCUGCUUGAGGAUCCCUUCACCUGGGCUGCAUAGCUCACCCAUGCUGACCAACUUCCCCAUUUCAAGCUUCAGACUCACAGCCGCGCUAGUUAGGGUACCACUUGUUCAGACAGCUGUUUUCAUUCACAUCUCCAAAGGUCCUCUACCUUAGAAGAAGAAAGAAAGAGGGAAAGAGAAAUAAAAGAGAUUAAUUAAGAACACUGGGGCCAGGCGCAGUGGCUCACACCUGUAAUCCCAGCACUUUGGGAGGCUGAGGCAGGCGGAUCACCUGAGGUCAGGAGUUGGAGACCAGCCUGGCCAACGUGGCAAAACCCCAUCUCUACUAAAAAUACAAAACUUAGCCAGGCAUGGUGGUGGGUACCUGUAAUCCCAGUUACUUUGGAGGCUGAGGCAGGAGGAUGGCUUGAACCUGGGAGGCAGAGGUUGCAGUGAGCCGAGAUCAUGCCAUUGCACUCCAGCCUGAGUGACAAGAGACUCUGUCUCAAAAAUAAAAACAAAAAACAAAAAAACAAAAUCACACACAUCUGAACCCGCAGUUUCAUAAAUGGUAAAUAAAAAUGCCAUGCACCACGAAUCAGAAAUAACGUGGCUCUGGGUUGGCGUCUCUCCCCCACCAACCAGGGAACGAAUGCACCCCUUCGCCAGGGGCAGCAGAGAGAGGUGGCUCUGUCUUCCUGCCUGCAUCCUCCUGUUUCAUCAUCCAGGUUCUGUGUGGCCCAGCGGCCUGGGGCUCUUUUGUUUGCCCCCUCCCUGCCCUCCAUCAGGGGUGCCUAAUGGGGCUCCCGAGUGCUCUUCCACUGUCAUCUAUCCCCCUCCUUUGUGUCCUGAGCCCUCCACGAGCUCAUGUGUGAGCUUGAAGAUCAGACACCACAGACACUCUUCCCCACUCUGCCUCAGCUGCCAAACCCGGAGAAGGAAGGACGGAUCAGACACCAAGACAGAAAAACAGAGUACCUGAGAAAGGCAGAGAGCUGUCUCCUGCCUCAGCCCCCAGAGGCCCGUGUGCCCCUCACUUCCCUCCUUUGAUUCCCACCAUCUGGGGUCUACCUCUGAAUUGACAAACUCUUGCUCGGUCACAUCUGGUUCAAGAGAAAGAAACAAGGAGUUUGGAAACCUAAACUAAUAGGCAGCACUUGGCACGCACAAUAGAAGCAGCUGCUGUUUAUAGCCCUUUUUAAGGGUGGCCUCAGGCCGGACCUCACACUUCCC
RNAcentral lists this long non-coding RNA (1543 nucleotides) under Homo sapiens (human). RNAcentral's name for it is "non-protein coding lnc-ASPH-5:3". The record is from RNAcentral. Lineage: Eukaryota; Metazoa; Chordata; Mammalia; Primates; Hominidae.